AGCAUGUGGUUUAAUCGAAGCAACGCGAAGAACCUUACCAGGUCUUGACAUCCCGAUGCUAUUUCUAGAGAUAGAAAGUUACUUCGGUACAUCGGUGACAGGUGGUGCAUGGUUGUCGUCAGCUCGUGUCGUGAGAUGUUGGGUUAAGUCCCGCAACGAGCGCAACCCCUAUUGUUAGUUGCCAUCAUUCAGUUGGGCACUCUAGCGAGACUGCCGGUAAUAAACCGGAGGAAGUGGGAUGACGUCAAAUCAUCAUGCCCCUUAUGACCUGGGCUACACACGUGCUACAAUGGUUGGUACAACGAGUUGCGAGUCGGUGACGGCGAGCUAAUCUCUUAAAGCCAAUCUCAGUUCGGAUUGUAGGCUGCAACUCGCCUACAUGAAGUCGGAAUCGCUAGUAAUCGCGGAUCAGCACGCCGCGGUGAAUACGUUCCCGGGCCUU
This 442-nucleotide ribosomal RNA is filed under the name uncultured Streptococcus sp. RNAcentral's name for it is "bacterial SSU rRNA". It matches the Rfam family "Bacterial small subunit ribosomal RNA", at positions 936 to 1382 of the family's 1533-position model. The record is from RNAcentral. Lineage: Bacteria; Bacillati; Bacillota; Bacilli; Lactobacillales; Streptococcaceae.